ACUAAUCAACCCACUAGCAACCAGAAAUGCUAAUUAUCUCUAACUUUACUACUGUAGAGCGAUACUCAACAUAAGACUAAUAGCAAAAUAACACUCACAACUAAAAGAAUGACUAUGGAGAUACUCUAAGAAUUCAAAGAAAGACCAUAACAAUUGAUAAAAAAUAUCUGCCCACGCGAACAAGUGCGAGGCUCACCAAGAAUUUUCAACAUGUGCGCUCUAAUUAACAAAUUGCUCGCAUGUGUCAAGUGCUGUCUCUGAAAAAAAAUAGCGAGGAAUGAGUCACUAGCUCAAUGAGUAAUAAUACUUAACCACAACCGUUUUCAUUUGGUGACAAGUCAGAAACAUGCUAGUAUCUCAAAGAGAAAAUAAUAUAAACACGCCCUUUCAGAAACAAUAAACAAUUUUUUUCAGUCUCAUCACGCCUUUCUUGAAGUAAAAUAUAAUUAACAAUUCAGUAAUAAGCUCGGUAACCACUAUAUAAUUUCAGUAUUCAUAUUUUUGGGAGGUUUCGAUAUGGAUCAUGUAAUCGGUAUAAUUAUGGACUUCUUCGCAAGAAGUCAAAUAUAACGGUAGUCCCUGCUCAAGAGAAAUCGGUAACAGUAUGCUACUUCUACCUUCCCACUAGCGAGGGCUAUUACAGUAAUCGAUAGUUACAAGGUGCACCAGGUCUAACGAACCCGCCGUUAGCUACGGGAUCAUUCAAUGUCUACUCUCAUUUAUACUUGUCUCUGUAAUCUGUAUAUACUUGUAAAAAUAUUUUAAAACAAUAUAGGGCAUUUCGGUUCUUACCAAAUCAUAUAAUUUCUUUUCGAUAACGGUAAAUUCAAGUAACGGUAAAAUCGAUCAAGUGAUAACAAAAAUAUUUAAAAUCAUGGUAUUCAUCUCAAAUAACUAUUUUGGUAUCAUAUAAAGUAAAGACUUGUCCCACAUGCAACUCAAAAUAAUCGGUAACAUAUUCAUAUUAAAAAUCAUGUGUAAAUCAUGCAAAUUAUGAAACACAAAUUGCGGUAAGAUUACUACUCACUGUACUCGUGUCGAUAUACUAAAUGCGCCACCUCGAGCAGUGGCGGAUUUAGGAAUUCAAGUUUGUGGGUGCUGAAUUUUUUUUGUACAUAAAAUUAAUGGGUGCUUUUGUAAAUUUUUAUACGUUUUCUUAAAUUUUCUAUAUAACUAUAAAUACUCUGCGUCGAGGUUAAUGAGUGCUUGAGCACCCAAAUUUUAUGUGUAGAUCCGCCACUGACCUCCAGCACUUCGUUUAAUUUCCUCCACUACCUAUAUUAUUACAUAACCAAUAGAUAAAUCAACAUUUUGAACUAGCGGUAAAGCCGAAUCAAUCCUGUGAUUUUUUCUUCACUUGGGGUUUCACAAGCACUCAUAAUUUCUACACUAAAGUGCUUGCUAAUGGACUUAUAGGAUCUUUAUCCAUCCAAUAGAAAAUUCAUAACAAUGUUAUCUUGAAAAUACCUUAAAUUUCUUUUCCUUGUUUCUAUCUUUAGUAAAAUAAAAAUUAGUAAUAGGACAAGUAUUGGGUCAAGGAAGAGAAUCUCGAAGAAACCUACCAAGGAAAUAGAUAAUUCAUAUUACCUUCGUUCUUCCACACAGAAGGUAAAUCAAGAAUGGCCUUGCUGAUUUCUCAUAUCUAAUUGGCUUCUAGUUGUGAGAAGCUAACAGCUUCGAUGUUUGCUCUUCGUCCGCCUCACCUAUCUCUUUCAAAAAAUAAUUCUUUCGUCAUGGUGUUAGUUUGCGUCGAAGUUUUAUGCUUCGUUCCCAAUCCCUAAUUUUCCGAUUAUUGUGUUUGUAGAGAAUAU
This 1811-nucleotide long non-coding RNA is filed under the name Nicotiana benthamiana. Its description in RNAcentral is "long non-coding RNA (NBEN_LNC039778)". The record is from RNAcentral. Lineage: Eukaryota; Viridiplantae; Streptophyta; Magnoliopsida; Solanales; Solanaceae.